This 207-nucleotide ribosomal RNA is filed under the name uncultured bacterium. RNAcentral describes it as "partial 16S ribosomal RNA". It matches the Rfam family "Bacterial small subunit ribosomal RNA", at positions 568 to 774 of the family's 1533-position model. The record is from RNAcentral.
CGUUUAGGCGGGUGAUUAAGUUCGCUAUGAAAGCGCCAGGCUAAACCUGGCGAGGCUGGCGGAUACUGGUCAUCUGGAGUGAGGAAGAGGAAGGUAGAAUUCCGCGUGUAGUGGUGAAAUGCGUAGAGAUGCGGAGGAAUACCAGUGGCGAAGGCGGCCUUCUGGUCCUUAACUGACGCUGAAGCGCGAAAGCAUGGGGAGCGAACG